UACGGAGGAUCCGAGCGUUAUCCGGAUUUACUGGGUUUAAAGGGUGCGUAGGUGGAAUGUCAAGUCAGUGGUGAAAACCUGCAGCUUAACUGCAGACCUGCCAUUGAUACUGUCAUUCUUGAGUGUAUUUGAUGUAAGUGGAAUGUGUCAUGUAGCGGUGAAAUGCUUAGAUAUGACACAGAACACCCAUUGCGAAGGCAGCUUACAAAACUACAACUGACACUGAGGCACGAAAGCGUGGGGAUCAAACAGGAUUAGAUACCCUGGUAGUCCACGCCGUAAACGUUGAUUACUAGAUGUGUGCGAGCAAUUGCACGUGUCAAAGCGAAAGCGUUAAGUAAUCCACCUGGGGAGUACGACCGCAAGGUUGAA
This 372-nucleotide ribosomal RNA is filed under the name uncultured bacterium. Its description in RNAcentral is "bacterial SSU rRNA". It matches the Rfam family "Bacterial small subunit ribosomal RNA", at positions 524 to 898 of the family's 1533-position model. The record is from RNAcentral.